UACGUAGGGUGCGAGCGUUGUCCGGAAUUACUGGGCGUAAAGAGCUCGUAGGUGGUUUGUCGCGUUGUCCGUGAAAACUCACAGCUUAACUGUGGGCGUGCGGGCGAUACGGGCAGACUGGAGUACUGCAGGGGAGACUGGAAUUCCUGGUGUAGCGGUGGAAUGCGUAGAUAUCUGGAGGAACACCGGUGGCGAAGGCGGCAUCCUGGACCGGCAUUGACGCUGAGGCGCGAAAGCUAGGGGAGCAAACGGG
RNAcentral lists this ribosomal RNA (253 nucleotides) under uncultured bacterium. Its description in RNAcentral is "partial 16S ribosomal RNA". It matches the Rfam family "Bacterial small subunit ribosomal RNA", at positions 524 to 776 of the family's 1533-position model. The record is from RNAcentral.